Molecule: long non-coding RNA, 1581 nt
Organism: Episyrphus balteatus (marmalade hoverfly)
Lineage: Eukaryota; Metazoa; Arthropoda; Insecta; Diptera; Syrphidae
Exons: 2
Source: RefSeq, a predicted model, not a curated record
CACACAACACAUGCACAUAAGUAUAAUGUGAAAUACAAAAAAAAAGAAAGAAAAAUUAACCAAAAGAAGAAAACAAAAAUUUCAGCAAACUUAAAGAAAUACAAAAAAAAAAGUUUUAAAAAAAAUUCUCCAUCGUCUUCGACCAUUAUACACCAGCAAUCGACCAGACGUUUGACGCUCACAUCGUCGGUCGACUUGCACACUUUCCGCCUUGAAAUGGUGUGCCUCCCUCCGUCCCACCGACGCCAUCAUCAUCAUCGUCGUUGUUGUCAAUGUUGGAUGUUGUUGGUGACUCGACGACCAAGACGACGACAGCGGCAAAGCGGCAACACCAAGAAGUAAGUGGCGACGCAACGGAAAUUCAUGUACGUGUGAGAAUUACCAGUUGGACUAUAAAAGCUAAAAUUCAUUUCGAACUCAAGUUUAUUCAAAUGUGAAGUGUGCGCAAGUCAACAUGGAUUCCUCCGGUGGCGGCAUCACAACGAACCAAAUGGAAAUCUAUAAUCCAUAUAAACCCUGCUACAAGGGGGCGUUUAUUUCAUUCUACUGGAUGGAUUUUUACACACAAUGGAUUAUAAAAGCAAACUCAAAAAGGCAAACUAUAUAGACGACGUCGAGACGUAAACAUCUUGUAACGCCACAAUCGAAACUAAAAGUCGUUUUUAUUUUUCGUCAUCUAUCGUAGUCCGCGUAGACCGCGAGAAAUUCCUAUUGUAGCUUUGUCUAGCUCUGAAGAAAAAAAAAAGUAGAUAAGCGAAAAAGGGGAAUGAAAAACGAACAAAAGACGAAUAGUUUUUUUUUUUCGAACUUCGAACUAGAAACGAGACGAAAGUGAGAGCGAAUCUAGUUGAAAUUUUAUAUAUGUAGUUUUGUUGGCGCGUGUGUGUGUUUAUUUCGUGUAGUGAUUUAGCCUUGAAAACGUUGGUUUUUUGUCUAUUUAUUGUUCUAAUGUCGGUCAGUGGGCGCACGAACUGUUUAGAAACUGUGUUUCUAGGAAAAGAGGCUUGCCGUUGAGCUUUUUUUUUUUUUUUCUUUAGUUAGUUCGAUCAUAGACAAACUUGUUUGUAUGAGUGUGAUCAUGAUCAUGAUGAUGAUGAUGAACUUGAACUUCUAAUUUUGAAUUAACAUUAUAAAUGCCGUUAUUUGUCAUUGUUAUCAUGUGGCAAGUUGUCGGCAACCGGCAACAGAGAUUAGAUGUGUUAGUUGUUUCUGACGUAGAAAGUGAAAGUGAGAGUGAAAUGGAAAUGGAAAUGAAUCUAUUUUUAGUCUUGGUUCGAAUCUAGCCUCUACUAGGCUUUGUCUGUUCGAAAUAUACGAAAGCUUUGCCUGUCAGACAUAGCCUAAAAGAGGUUAGGUGCAACCUGGAUAUCAACAACAACAACAACAACUUUAAUUGGAUUAUUCUUUUUUUUUUUGUUCGUUUUUGUUCUUUAAAUUUUUAUUUCAUUUAGAUUGAAGGUAAUACAAAAAAAAACUAGUUGGCAAGUGGCGAAGAUAAAGCAAACAAAGAGAAAUUAAUACAAAAAAAAUCUGCACUCGUGAAGAAUUUUAAGAUUAAAAAUAAACGAAAGAAAAAAAAAA